GAGCGAUCAUAAGGGAGCUGACUGCAAAUCUGCCGUCAUCGACUUCAAGGUUCGACUCGAGCAAUAGUGAGAGAACGUUGCCGCAGGCAACGGCCCG
This 97-nucleotide small RNA is filed under the name Salmonella enterica. Its description in RNAcentral is "partial RtT sRNA". It matches the Rfam family "RtT RNA", at positions 1 to 86 of the family's 130-position model. From Rfam's summary of the family: This family represents a bacterial cis-regulatory element known as RtT RNA. The record is from RNAcentral. Lineage: Bacteria; Pseudomonadati; Pseudomonadota; Gammaproteobacteria; Enterobacterales; Enterobacteriaceae. RNAcentral also lists the same sequence under 1 other name.